This is a non-coding RNA of Oryza barthii, 197 nucleotides long. Lineage: Eukaryota; Viridiplantae; Streptophyta; Magnoliopsida; Poales; Poaceae. The record is from Rfam.
AAUAAGUGCAGUUUUGCACUGUUCAUAUCCAACAUUUGACCAUUCAUCUUAUUUGAAAUUUUUUUAUGAUUAAUAUUUUUAUUGUUAUUAGAUGAUAAAAUAUGAAUAGUAUUUUAUAUGUGAUUAAUCUUUUAUAAUUUUUUUAAAUAAGACGAAUGGUCAAACGUUGGACACGGAUAUCCAUAACUGCACUUAUU